AUGAAGAUGGCGACCUGCAUUCGUAAGGUGGCCUCGGAGGAGUUUGGAGUGUCCAGGGGAAGGAGAAGCGAAGAUAAGGAUACCUGGUGGUGGAAUGAUGAUGUCCAGAAGGCGCUUAAAGAGAAGAAAGAUUGCUUCAGACGCCUAUACCUGGAUAGGAGUGCAGACAACAUAGAGAAGUACAAGAUGGCGAAGAAGGCCGCAAAGCAAGCUGUUGGUGAAGCAAGGGGUCGGGCAUAUGAGGACCUCUACCAACGGUUAGGCACGAAGGAAGGUGAAAGGGACAUCUAUAAGAUGGCUAAGAUCCGGGAGAGGAAGACAAGGGAUAUUGGCCAAGUCAAAUGCAUCAAGGACGGAGCAGGCCAACUCUUGGUGAAGGACGAAGAGAUUAAGCAUAGAUGGCGGGAGUACUUCGACAAGCUGUUCAAUGGGGAGAAUGAGAGUUCUACCAUUGAACUGAAUGACUCCUUUGAUGAGACCAGCAUGCAUUUUGUGCGGCGCAUCCAGGAGUCUGAGGUGAAGGAGGCUUUAAAAAGGAUGAAAGGAGGCAAGGCGAUGGGCCCUGAUUGUAUCCCCAUUGAGGUGUGGAAAGGUCUCGGGGACAUAGCGAUAGUAUGGCUAACCAAGCUUUUCAACCUCAUUUUUCGGGCAGACAAGAUGCCAGAAGAAUGUAGACGGAGUAUAUUAGUACCAAUCUUCAAGAACAAGGGGGAUGUUCAGAGUUGUACUAAUUACCGUGGAAUUAAGCCGAUGAGCCAUACAAUGAAGCUAUGGGAGAGAGUCAUUGAGCACCGCUUAAGAAGAAUGACAAGCGUGACCAAAAAUCAGUUUGGUUUCAUGCCUGGGAGGUCGACCAUGGAAGCCAUUUUCUUGGUACGACAACUUAUGGAGAGAUAUAGGGAGCAUAAGAAGGACUUGCAUAUGGUGUUCAUUGACUUGGAGAAGGCCUAUGAUAAGAUACCGCGGAAUGUCAUGUGGUGGGCCUUGAAGAAACACAAAGUCCCAGCAAAGUACAUUACCCUCAUCAAGGACAUGUACAAUAAUGUUGUGACAAGUGUUCGAACAAGUGAUGUCGACACCGAUGACUUCCCGAUUAAGAUAGGACUGCAUCAGGGGUCAGCUUUGAGCCCUUAUCUUUUUGCUUUGGUGAUGGAUGAGGUCACAAGGGGUAUACAAGGAGAUAUCCCAUGGUGUAUGCUCUUUGCGGAUGAUGUGGUGCUAGUUUACGAUAGUCGGACGGGGGUAAAUAGGAAGUUAGAGUUAUGGAGACAAACUUUGGAAUCGAAAGGGUUUAGGCUUAGUAGAACUAAAACCGAGUACAUGAUGUGCGGUUUCAGUACUACUAGCUGUGAGGAGGAGGAGGUUAGCCUUGAUGGCCAGGUGGUACCUCGAAAGGACACCUUUUGGUAUUUGGGGUCAAUGUUGCAGGAGGAUGGGGGUAUUGAUGAAGAUGUGAACCAUCGAAUCAAAGCCGGAUGGAUGAAGUGGCGCCAAGCUUCUGGCAUUCUCUGUGACAAGAGAGUGCCACAAAAGCUAAAAGGCAAGUUCUACAGGACGACGGUUCGACCCGCAAUGUUGUAUGGCACGGAGUGUUGGCCGACUAAAAGGCGACAUGUUCAACAGUUAGGUGUGGCGGAGAUGCGUAUGUUGAGAUGGAUGUGUGGCCACACGAGGAAGGAUCCAGUCCGGAAUGAUGAUAUACGAGAUAGAGUUGGGGUAGCACCAAUUGAGGAGAAGCUUGUCCAACAUCGUUUGAGAUGGUUUUGGCAUAUUCAGCGCAGGCCUCCAGAAGCUCCAGUGCAUAGCGGACGGCUAAGGCGUGCGGAGAAUGUCAAGAGAGGGCAGGGUCGACCGAUUUUGACAUGGGAGGAGUCCGUUAAGAGAGACCUGAAGGAUUGGAGUAUCGACAAAGAGCUAGCUAUGGACAGGGGUGCGUGGAAGCUUGCUAUCCAUGUGCCAGAGCCAUGA
This 1968-nucleotide ribosomal RNA is filed under the name Triticum aestivum (bread wheat). RNAcentral's name for it is "partial small subunit ribosomal RNA". Lineage: Eukaryota; Viridiplantae; Streptophyta; Magnoliopsida; Poales; Poaceae. The record is from RNAcentral.